This 499-nucleotide ribosomal RNA is filed under the name uncultured Glomeromycotina. Its description in RNAcentral is "partial small subunit ribosomal RNA". It matches the Rfam family "Eukaryotic small subunit ribosomal RNA", at positions 591 to 1092 of the family's 1831-position model. The record is from RNAcentral. Lineage: Eukaryota; Fungi; Glomeromycota.
CCAAUAGCGUAUAUUAAAGUUGUUGCAGUUAAAAAGCUCGUAGUUGGAUUUCGGGGUCAGCAAGUUGGUCGUGCCACCGGUAUGCACUGGCUUUGCUGAUUCCUCCUUCUUGUAGAACCGUAAUGCCAUUAAGUUGGUGUUGCGGGGAAACAGGUCUGUUACUUUGAAAAAAUUAGAGUGUUUAAAGCAGGCUAACGCUUGAAUACAUUAGCAUGGAAUAAUGAAAUAGGACGACGAUCCUAUUUUGUUGGUUUCUAGGAUUGACGUAAUGAUUAAUAGGGAUAGUUGGGGGCAUUAGUAUUCAAUUGUCAGAGGUGAAAUUCUUGGAUUUAUUGAAGACUGACUACUGCGAAAGCAUUUGCCAAGGAUGUUUUCAUUAAUCAAGAACGAAAGUUAGGGGAUCGAAGACGAUCAGAUACCGUCGUAGUCUUAACCAUAAACUAUGCCGACUAGGGAUCGGAUGAUGUUAAUUUUUUAAUGACUCAUUCGGCGCCUUACG